CCUACGGGCGGCAGCAGUGAGGAAUAUUGGUCAAUGGACGAGAGUCUGAACCAGCCAAGUAGCGUGAAGGAUGACUGCCCUAUGGGUUGUAAACUUCUUUUAUAAGGGAAUAAAACGACGCACGUGUGCGUUUUUGUAUGUACUUUAUGAAUAAGGAUCGGCUAAUUCCGUGCCAGCAGCCGCGGUAAUACGGAGGAUGCGAGCGUUAUCCGGAUUUAUUGGGUUUAAAGGGAGCGUAGACGGUUGGUUAAGUCAGUGGGAAAAUCGUCCGGCUAAACCGUAAAGUGCAAUUGAAACUGGGAGUCUUGAGUAUACGUGAGGUAGGCGGAAUUCGUGGUGUAGCGGUGAAAUGCUUAGAUAUCACGAAGAACCCCGAUUGCGAAGGCAGUGUACUAGA
This 397-nucleotide ribosomal RNA is filed under the name uncultured bacterium. RNAcentral's name for it is "partial 16S ribosomal RNA". It matches the Rfam family "Bacterial small subunit ribosomal RNA", at positions 338 to 733 of the family's 1533-position model. The record is from RNAcentral.